RNAcentral lists this ribosomal RNA (253 nucleotides) under uncultured bacterium. Its description in RNAcentral is "partial 16S ribosomal RNA". It matches the Rfam family "Bacterial small subunit ribosomal RNA", at positions 524 to 776 of the family's 1533-position model. The record is from RNAcentral.
UACGAGGGGAGCUAGCGUUGUUCGGAGUUACUGGGCGUAAAGCGCGCGUAGGCGGUUUCUUAAGUCAGAGGUGAAAGCCUGGAGCUCAACUCCAGAACUGCCUUUGAAACUGGGCAACUUGAAUCUUGGAGAGGUCAGUGGAAUUCCGAGUGUAGAGGUGAAAUUCGUAGAUAUUCGGAAGAACACCAGUGGCGAAGGCGACUGACUGGACAAGUAUUGACGCUGAGGUGCGAAAGCGUGGGGAGCAAACAGG